AUACGGAGGGUGCGAGCGUUAAUCGGAAUUACUAGGCGUAAAGCGUACGUAGGCGGUUGGUUAAGUUAGAUGUGAAAGCCCCGGGCUUAACCUGGGAACUGCAUUUAAAACUGGCGAACUAGAGUUGAGUAGAGGGGAGUGGAAUUUCAGGUGUAGCGGUGAAAUGCGUAGAGAUCUGAAGGAACACCAGUGGCGAAGGCGACUCCCUGGACUCGAACUGACGCUGAGGUACGAAAGCGUGGGUAGCAAACGGGAUUAGAAACCCCAGUAGUCC
RNAcentral lists this ribosomal RNA (274 nucleotides) under uncultured bacterium. RNAcentral describes it as "partial 16S ribosomal RNA". It matches the Rfam family "Bacterial small subunit ribosomal RNA", at positions 523 to 796 of the family's 1533-position model. The record is from RNAcentral.